Molecule: small RNA, 887 nt
Filed under: Pan troglodytes (chimpanzee)
Lineage: Eukaryota; Metazoa; Chordata; Mammalia; Primates; Hominidae
Description: processed transcript
Source: RNAcentral
GGUCAACGGGCUAUGCUGGCUUGACAGGGCUGGGCUCUUCAGAACAGAAGCAUGGAUCUCGGAAUCCCUGACCUGCUGGACGCGUGGCUGGAGCCCCCAGAGGAUAUCUUCUCGACAGGAUCCGUCCUGGAGCUGGGACUCCACUGCCCCCCUCCAGAGGUUCCGGUAACUAGGCUACAGGAACAGGGACUGCAAGGCUGGAAGUCCGGUGGGGACCGUGGCUGUGUGAGUGUGACGAGUGGGAGUGGGGGUGGGGUUGAGACACAACUCUGUGAUAAGAGGCUUCAGCUCCCACUUGGAGACAGGUCUGAAAACAGACCACCCCCAAAAUAGACGUAAGUUGUAUAAUAACUGUCUCCAUGCCCAAGAAGCGAAAGGACUGAAAAUGAAGCAUAAGGCUGAUGUCAGGGAGGACUUCCAAAAUUCUUCCCUGCAUAUAUAUAUAACCUUUUCCUACUGUAGGGCCUUCAAGAGAGUGAGCCUGAAGAUUUCUUGAAGCUUUUCAUUGAUCCCAAUGAGGUGUACUGCUCAGAAGCAUCUCCUGGCAGUGACAGUGGCAUCUCUGAGGACCCCUGCCAUCCAGACAGUCCCCCUGCCCCCAGGGCAACCAGUUCUCCUACGCUCUAUGAGGUUGUCUAUGAGGCAGGGGCCCUGGAGAGGAUGCAGGGGGAAACUGGGCCAAAUGUAGGCCUUAUCUCCAUCCAGCUAGGUCAGUGUUCUUUGUGGGAAGGGGGAAAUGGCCCUUCGGGACUGGCCCUAACCAUGGGGUUAAGGGGGUUUACCCAACCUGUGCCACUACCCAGGCCCUGCGGCUGUCAGGGUGUUCCUAAGUCUCCUCUCUCCCAGCUACCUGUUCUCUACUCCAGAUCAGUGGAGCCCAGCAUUUA